Long non-coding RNA from Amphiprion ocellaris (clown anemonefish), 3701 nucleotides. The record is from Ensembl. Lineage: Eukaryota; Metazoa; Chordata; Actinopteri; Pomacentridae.
GGAGACUCAUCAGAUCAGGCAACAUUUUUCCAAUCUUCUAUUGUCUAGUUUUGGUGAGUCUGUUUCAAUUGUAGCCUCAGUUUCCUGUUGUUAGAUGACAGGAGUGGAACCUGGUGUGGUCUUCUGCUGCUGUAGAACAUCUUCUUCAAGGCGUUCAGAGAUGGCUGCUGGACAGUUUCCACGACUUGAACAAAAUGAUUGGCCAGAGAUACAAGCGAGCCAACGGCGUUUCUCGUGACCUGCUGCUGAAGACUUUACACCUGGAGCAGCCGCAGACUGAAGUCCGACCUGCUUCCUGGACAGCAAACCGCCGCCUCUCCCCCGGCCUCCCGUCGGCCAAUCAGCACGCUCAGAGCGCCGCCGCCAAGCGACGGCUGUCGUACGACUACAACAGGAACGUCAUGGAGUAGCCGUCGGCUGGUUGGACUGUCAGUCGGCUGAAGGACUGCGGGUCCGGACAGUUUCUGUGAUCGACUCUUUGCACUCUGAGACGACAUCGACCCUCGAAAACGGAACGACUCACUUCAGUUUACGUCGUCUAAUCCAGCUGCUGUCGAUGUGAACCGCUGGAGUGUUUUCACCUCAAAUGUUUGACACCGUGUUCAACCAAACCUCCGUCCUGAGUUCCACCCAGAGAACCACAUGUUGUACAGAUGUUGUUUGGAGAAGGAAGAGCUGAAGCUACGAGGUUCGGCCACCCUGUUGAAGGAGUCAAAUCUGCAGUUCUGUUUUAGUUUACUUUAGGUGUUACUUUACAGCAGAAGUUACUGUUUUAGCAGAAAUGGUCCCAAUCGUAGGAAUAGAAAUCGAUAAUCUGGCCCAAACUAAAAUUUUGGUUUGCAAGAAAUUCUUAAUUGUUUGUCUCCCCCUUCUGGUAGAGGAAUUACACAAGCAUUGUUGAGACAUGCUGAUCACAUUCAACUUGCAGUCGAUACGUUUCUUGUUCAGACAGUAAUCUUUCUUUGAAAUGCUUCCUCUAAACUUUUAAGCUUCUUUUUCAUCUGAAAAAACAGAAACGUUUCUCGGAGACUUCUUAGUUUUUCUGCUCUAGUCCAUAUUUUUGUAGCUUAUUCUGUUUCCGUCACUACAGAUGUUCCGCUCUUUAGCUCUGGUAAACCAAUCAAUCAGAAUCUGAAUGAUAAAUCCAGUGUAGACAUAGUUAAUGUGGUAAAUGACUAUUGUAGCUGGAAACAGCUGAUUUUUAAUGGAAUAUCUCCAUAGGGGUACAGAGGAACAUUUCCAGCAACCAUCACUCCUGUGUUCUAAUGCUACAUUGUGUUAGCUAAUGGUGUUGAAAGGCUAACUGAUGAUUAGAAAACCCUUGUGCAAUUAUGUUAGCACAUGAAUAAAAGUGAGUUUUCAUGGAAAACAUGGAAUUGCCUGGGUGACCCCAAACUUUUGAACGGUAGUGUACUUUACUUGACUUUUUGUUCAGUUAACCGCUUGUCGCAAAUUCUCAUCAUACCACUUUCAUUCAGACUGCAGCAGAGAUAGCGUAUCCAUUCCCCCAAUGCCAAUUUGUACAUAGUCAAUACGUACCUCGGAACCUUUUGCAAGCACUGGUUUCUCGUAGGACCUAAUUAUUAUAUAUCUGUUAUUAUUAUUAUAUAUCUGUUCUAUGUGUAAUAGACAAAUUAGCAAUCUCCACUUAUUUUAGCAUCAGCUGGAAAGCAAAAACACACAAAAGGUUUUUUUUUAAUUUUAAUUGUAAAUAAAUUCAGACGUCAAGGGGUUAAGGUGCAGCAAUGCAAGCUUAGUCGCCAAAAUUAUACCAUUCAUCAUAGCAGGAAACUGUAAAAACAGUACGAAGCAUCAAAUUUUCAAUUUUCCAGCAUCUUUGAACUGGAAAAACAACCAAACCUCACCUAAAAAUUAGGGCUAGCCCGAAUAGCAGUAUCUGGGCUCCGGAUAUUCGGCCCUAAUUAAGGACGAAUAUCCGAAUAUUCGGAUCGCGUGACGUCAUCCGACGGGGGGUGGGGCCUGACUCCAAAUGUUUGGAUCUCAAAAUUAAUAUUCGGAUACCACAGUAGCGACCGGAUAUUCAGAUAUUCGGGUCCAGAUAUUUCAUUGAAGUCAUGUUAUUCUGCAUUACUUAUUUAUAAUGUGGUCAAAUGGUAUUAUAUCACCUAAACCAAAAACACCAUUUAUCAGCUAGAAACUGCAAAGACGGAAACAAUCGUGGGACUUUUCAUGGAAAACGUGAAAUUGUCUGGAUGACCCCAUACUUUUGAACGGUAGUGUAGGUAUGUACUGAUGGAGGAACAUUUAAAUUUUUUAAAAUGGGAUCUUUUAGAAUAACUGCAUUUCUAAUUUUACUUCUAGUCACAGAAACCUUCGUGUGAAGUAAAUGUGACAUAAAGCUCCCAGCAAUGAGGACAAAAGGAACAAAGCAAUGAUGUAAUUCUGUAACUUCAUCAACAUGGUGGCCUGACUCUCGCUAACAUCUGGUUUUCUGCUUUCAAACACUCUGUGACAGAUUCUUCAGUUCUCCUGCAGCAGAAACUGAUCUCACGCACAUGUUAGUUCACAGAAAAACCACGUCUGUCCGAUUCUAUCAUCACACCGAGAGCAGCGUUAUUUUUCCACUACGUGACACUUGUAGUACUGCAGGAGGAAUCUAGUUGUGAUGAUUUUGAAGUUUGUUUUUUUUGUUCCUUUUAUCACGUGCUGCAUGUGCUUUCAUUGUUAACCUGCGACAGGAAAUAAAAGUGGUUUUGGUUCCUCAGACAGUGGAGUUUGUCUUCCAGUUUAGUGCCAACAGGAGCUCCGGUGAAAAGUGCCAAUGUUUGCCAGAUUACAGAAGCGACACGUUCAAGAGGUUCCUCAAACAAUAGCAUGUGAUGUUUGGCUCUUUUCCUUUUUUUUUUCCUCCUCGUCUGGCUUCCUGUUUGCCCAUUUCUCAUCUCAGCUCUACUCUGUUCUGUAGUCGAGUCCACUUCACGGGCAAAACUCGAACCACAGCUGCCAGUUAACCCUCCUGUUGUCUUCAUUUAUAGGCACCAAAAAAUAUUGUUUCCUUGUCUGAAAAAAAAUUUUCCUUGUCCUUUCCUUGUCUGAAAAAAAAUUUUGGCAAGAAAAUUCUUGUAAAUAUUUUCAAAAAAUUUGAAAAAUCUUCCAAAAAAAUCCUAAAAAUAUCUAAAAUGAUUACAUAUAUAUCAGUAAAACUUCUAAUGUUUUCUUUAAGAACAUUCACAUAAAAAUCAACCAAAAUCCAGUGAAAUUCGCUGGAUUUUGGUAGAUUUUUUUGUGAAUGGUCUUAAAGAAACAUUUUUUUUCCACCAAAAAAUGUUGAAAACUUUCCAAAAAAUGUUGAAAUGUGGACAUCAGAAGUUUCACUGUGAAAAUAUAUUUUUUUUCCAUAUUUUCAAACUUUAAAACGGGUCAGUUUGACCCGCAGGACAACAGGAGGGUUAAAACAAUACUUGACGAGGAUGUUUGUUAAGUCGAUGAUGUUCUGUAUCUUCAGUUCCACCACGCUGUUCUGCUCACCUCAGAGGGUUUGUUCCGCUCUGUCUUGUAUAUUUCACUUGUCAACUCCCAUCAUUUGUGAUGAAAUUCAGAAACAAUCCUCCCCCGUGUGUGUGUCUGUGUCUCUCUGCCGUUUGUACAAACUUCAGAUUCCUGCAAAAGAUGAAUAUUUUCUGACGAGGAAGACGGAGUUGUCGCCUCGAUGUAAUAAAAUGAUCCCGCGUGUUCCCGCU